Molecule: unclassified non-coding RNA, 348 nt
Filed under: Hevea brasiliensis (rubber tree)
Lineage: Eukaryota; Viridiplantae; Streptophyta; Magnoliopsida; Malpighiales; Euphorbiaceae
Source: RNAcentral
GAAAGUGUGGAUUUUGUUCACUUCUUAUUGAAUUUAAUCAUGGGUAGUUUCUUUCUUGCAUUUUGAAAAGCAAUAACCAUUCUAGUUGACAAAGGCUAGCUCUUUUUGUGUUCUUGGUUUACAAUUUGAAUUUAAUGAUGUGCAAAACUUGAUUUCUGUUAUUUACAUCGCCUUUUUUUCCCCUUGUAACUGUAUGUAGAGGUUGGAACACACAAUAGAUUUAUAGUGUCAAACUACUAAGUUCAAGGCUAUGUCAAUAAUGUUACCCAUGUUUAAGAUAUAGUUCAUAUAACUAUGAAUCAUUUGAUUAAGAUGUAGUUCGUAUAAAUCUGAAUCAUUCCAUUAAAG